Molecule: long non-coding RNA, 296 nt
Organism: Bufo bufo (common toad)
Lineage: Eukaryota; Metazoa; Chordata; Amphibia; Anura; Bufonidae
Exons: 3
Source: RefSeq, a predicted model, not a curated record
GGAUGUUCUUUUCUCCCCGGUGGCGGGGAGAGCAGGGAGGUGUUAGUGGAGACCGGGAGCAGAUCCUGGCUGCAGACAAGCAGCAAAAUGGCCGAAGGUGAAGAGCAACCACAGUGACAGUGAGAAUAUAUCUUGGUAAUUUAAUAUUCACACAUAGUGAAGUUGGAAACCAUGGAUGAUGCAGUGGAGAAGUUGGUAAACUACACCUGCAAUGCAUAUCAUCUGAAUGGAGAGGUUCGGUCUACAUUUGAUGAAGUUGCAAUUUACUUCUCCAAGGAGGAGUGGGACUGCUUAAA